CAGAUUAGCUAGUUGGUGAGGUAAAGGCUCACCAAGGCGACGAUCUGUAGCGGGUCUGAGAGGAUGAUCCGCCACACUGGAACUGAGACACGGUCCAGACUCCUACGGGAGGCAGCAGUGGGGAAUUUUGGACAAUGGGGGCAACCCUGAUCCAGCCAUGCCGCGUGAGUGAAGAAGGCCUUCGGGUUGUAAAGCUCUUUCGGCCGGGAAGAAAUCGUAUCAGCUAAUACCUGGUGCGGAUGACGGUACCGGCAUAAGAAGCACCGGCUAACUACGUGCCAGCAGCCGCGGUAAUACGUAGGGUGCGAGCGUUAAUCGGAAUUACUGGGCGUAAAGCGUGCGCA
Molecule: ribosomal RNA, 344 nt
Filed under: uncultured Dechloromonas sp.
Lineage: Bacteria; Pseudomonadati; Pseudomonadota; Betaproteobacteria; Rhodocyclales; Azonexaceae
Description: bacterial SSU rRNA
Rfam family: Bacterial small subunit ribosomal RNA
Source: RNAcentral